UUUCUGUGUCUUGCAGUCCCCAACCGAAUAUGAGGAGUCAUCAGAUGACGAGCUGCCUUCCAGGAACUGGAGCAAGGCACAAAGGCAAAUAAAGCCGAGAAUAAAAGGCUGAAAGAAGACAACUUUAAACACCCAAUAGAAGCAAUGAAAUAGCUUCCAGCAGUCGGGCAGAACUUACGAGACAUAGCUGAGCUAUUGUCAUCGAUCUCAAGCAGUGCAUCAGCCGGAUCAACACUCGUGCAAACACCUGUACGAACACCAGCGCGAUCAGAACUGCAACUUUCUGCACCCGCGUCUCCUCAGGUGGACUCUGCUGACUUGGGCAUAUUGUGAUCUGUGGGGGAAACCGGAGUACCCGGAGGGAACCCACGCAUGCAUGGGGAGAACACGCAACUCCACUCAGAAAGGCCGCAGCCGAGUUUUGAACCUGCAACCUUCAUGCAGCAAGGCAACAGUGCUAACCACUGCGCCACCAUGCAGAGAGUGUGAAGUGUUUGGUUUUGAAAAAGUGUCUCUUGUGCCAGGCGAGUCAAAGUCCCCAGACAGGAGCUCAACUCUCUGCGGACUUCAAAUCACUCAGUUUACAUUGGAGACCUGGCAGUGCUCGUCAACGGCAG
Non-coding RNA from Nothobranchius furzeri (turquoise killifish), 617 nucleotides. The record is from RefSeq and is a predicted model, not a curated record. Lineage: Eukaryota; Metazoa; Chordata; Actinopteri; Cyprinodontiformes; Nothobranchiidae.